This is a small nucleolar RNA of 55 nucleotides. It matches the Rfam family "Small nucleolar RNA sR20". The record is from Rfam.
AUUAUGAUGAUGAGAGGGUCCAAUGAUUUGAUGAUUAUCGCUGGAAAAGCUGAUA